GAUGAAGAACGUAGCGAAAUGCGAUACUUGGUGUGAAUUGCAGAAUCCCGUGAACCAUCGAGUCUUUGAACGCAAGUUGCGCCCGAAGCCUCGGCUAAGGGCACGUCUGCCUGGGCGUCACGCAUCGCGUCUCCCCCAAACCGCCAAGGCGGAGGGGAAGGAAGAUGGCUUCCCGUGCCUCACCCGGGCGCGGUUGGCCUAAAUUUGGAGCCCGCGGCACUUAGCUCUCGCGGCGAUAGGUGGUGAACAAGGCCUUGGCCGUGCAAACAACCCGCUGUGAAUCUCUAUGUCACGUGCGCUCGUCGGACCCUUUGAAGUUGCCUUUGGUGACUUAAAACCUUUGCGACCCCAGGUCAGGCGGGGCUACCCGCUGAAUUUAAGCAUAUCAAUAAGCGGAGGA
Molecule: unclassified non-coding RNA, 400 nt
Filed under: soil metagenome
Description: partial contains 5.8S ribosomal RNA, internal transcribed spacer 2, and large subunit ribosomal RNA
Rfam family: 5.8S ribosomal RNA (bases 1-120)
Source: RNAcentral